This 450-nucleotide ribosomal RNA is filed under the name uncultured bacterium. Its description in RNAcentral is "bacterial SSU rRNA". It matches the Rfam family "Bacterial small subunit ribosomal RNA", at positions 354 to 796 of the family's 1533-position model. The record is from RNAcentral.
GUGAGGAAUUUUGCGCAAUGGGGGAAACCCUGACGCAGCAACGCCGCGUGAGUGAAGAAGGCCUUCGGGUCGUAAAGCUCUGUCUAGUGGGACAAAAGCCUCAUGGUAAAUAGCCAUGAGGGUUGAUGGUACCACUGAAGGAAGCACCGGCUAACUCCGUGCCAGCAGCCGCGGUAAUACGGAGGGUGCAAGCGUUGUUCGGAAUUAUUGGGCGUAAAGGGCGUGUAGGCGGUUAAGUAAGUCAGAUGUGAAAUCCCUGGGCUUAACUCGGGAAGUGCAUUUGAAACUACUUUACUUGAGUAUGGGAGAGGAGAGUGGAAUUCCCAGUGUAGAGGUGAAAUUCGUAGAUAUUGGGAGGAACACCCGUGGCGAAGGCGACUCUCUGGACCAAUACUGACGCUGAUACGCGAAAGUGUGGGGAGCAAACAGGAUUAGAUACCCCUGUAGUCC